This 515-nucleotide ribosomal RNA is filed under the name Clibanarius snelliusi. RNAcentral describes it as "partial 16S ribosomal RNA". It matches the Rfam family "Bacterial large subunit ribosomal RNA", at positions 1831 to 2597 of the family's 2925-position model. Lineage: Eukaryota; Metazoa; Arthropoda; Malacostraca; Decapoda; Diogenidae. The record is from RNAcentral.
GUCUUUAUGAAGGUAUGUAAAGUUUGACCUGCCCACUGAGUUGUUGAAUGGCCGCGGUAUUUCUGACCGUGCGAAGGUAGCAUAAUCACUUGUCUUUUAAUUGAAGGCUUGAAUGAAUGGUUGGACGAAAAACUUUCUGUUUCAAAUAAAAAUUUUGAAUUUAACUUUAAAGUGAAAAGGCUUUAAUGAGUUAAAAAGACGAUAAGACCCUAUAAAUCUUUACAUUCUUUUUUGUGUUUUUAAAUUUGUUAGUUUAAAUUAAAGCAUAAAUAAAAUGUUGUGUUGGGGCAACAACGAUAUAAUAUAAUUAACUGUUGAAAAAAAAAACAAUAUAUUUUUGUUAGGUUUGAAAAGAUCCUUGUUAGAGAUUUAAAGAUCAAGUUACUUUAGGGAUAACAGCGUUAUUUUUUUUGAGAGUUCUUAUCGAAAAAAGAGUUUGCGACCUCGAUGUUGAAUUAAAAAAUCUUUUUAAUGUAGCAGUUAAUAAAGAAAGUCUGUUCGACUUUUAAUUUUUU